RNAcentral lists this long non-coding RNA (1329 nucleotides) under Ursus maritimus (polar bear). RNAcentral's name for it is "lncRNA (ENSUMAG00000001088.1)". The record is from RNAcentral. Lineage: Eukaryota; Metazoa; Chordata; Mammalia; Carnivora; Ursidae.
UUUGCAAGUGUAUCGAUCUUCUAAAAGUGCAACACUUCUGUAGUUUGGAAGGUUUUAGUACCAGUUAGAUCUUUUCAGUAGUCUCACCUGUAUCGACUAGGAGAAAAAAGAGAACUAAUGUGGAAACCACAGGGGAAGUGGGUUGGACUUGAGACACUUUAACAGUAUUUUCAAUUCAUCCACUUCGUUACUUCAACAUGAGACUUGGAAGCAUGUUGUCUUGGAUUUAUUGGCUCUUCAUAUAUCUCUAUAUUAUUUUUAAGUUGAGGUUUUAUCAAUUUAUUAGUGUUUCCAUACUAUUUGCAGUUCUAUGGCCUUUAGAUAUAGGACUUAUUAUAUAGUAGAAAUUCUGACUUAUACUUUAAAGUGUCUUGUAUAUUGUAACACAUGUUGAGAAGAAAAGCUAAGCAAUUCUUCUGUUAGAUUGCUCCCAGUCCUUAUUUUGGUCUUUCUCUUUUUAAAUUCAAGUGUUUUGUGUGCUUAGAAAAAGGACAUGUAUAAUAGAAAGAUUGGUUAUUUCUGAGCUGGAAAUUGGAAACUUUGAGACUCAGGAAAUUGCUCUGACAAUGUUUUAACUGCUCUCAAUUUAAGAAAAUGACAAAAUGUAUAAAAAAGACACAAAAAUGUGUGCUGUUUAUUCCAAGUGCUUUUUCUAAGUGCUUUUCCAUUGUGCAAUGAGGUGAAGUUUGGUAAUUUUCUGUGUAGUGGUUAUUGCUUAUUUUUAUUUACAUGGUAAAGAAAACAGAUUUAAAUGUUUGUGUGGCCAGAAAAGUGUCAUUUAAAAGAGAUAGAGACUGCAGGACCGAUGGCUGUACUCUUUUCCAUGAAGUUUUUGGAGAUCGAGGAUCCUUUUAUUUUAGCUCACCACUCAUCAUACCCAGCGUGUGGUCCUCGAUUCCUAAACCAGGGUGGGUAGCGAGAGCUUUAAUAAUCACAUCUGCAUUCUGUUCGAGGAAGGACAAAGAAGAAAGGAGCAAUGGGCAAAUGCCAGUGAUCUUUUGUAGAAGAUUUUUGGAAGUUGCCAUACAACACUUCCAUUUACAUCUUACUGGCUGGAACUUAGUCAUGUGGUCACAUCUAGCUGUAAGAGAGGCUGAGAAAUUGUCUUUAUUUCAGUCUAUAUGUUCAGCUAAAAUUAGGGCAUUCUGUUGGAGGAAAGAGAAUGUGUAUUAGGGAAAUUCGUAGCAGUUUCUGCCACAUCAUUUUUGAUCGUUGGAUGCAAAUAAUGUGAAAAUCAGUUCUUGAUGCUUUCCUUCAACAUAUCUUUGUUGAUGAUUACCCUGUGCUAGGGAUAAUAAAAAGGAAAUCACAGUUCUAUGUAUUUUAACU